UAUUACAAUAUAAGGUUUUGUCUAAGGACUUCUUAGAUAUGCUACAAUUCAGCAUGAAUUCUUUUUCACCACUGAAUGCAACUUUUCUUUAAAGCUUCCUACACUGGGGACACGUCUACACGGGGGAACAAAAAGAUUUAUAGACGGAAGAGAUCAUUUCGGAUAUUACAGUAUCGGAGAAAAGAAGCCUAGCGAGAAGUCCAGUUAACUAAAACAAAUAUACUGAUGAAAGUGAAUUGGAUAUCGACAUACCUUUGAAAUGUUCCGAACAUAGUUGAUUAUAGCACCCUAAUAGCGAUAAAAACAAAAAGAAUUAAGGAACCAUUAAUCUAUCGGCUACGAGGAGGCAGAAAAAUAUAAAAGAUCUUACGAAAAGGGAUAGUGAGGAAGAAAGGAGAAUCAAAAAGAGAAAUAGAAUACUCCAUUAAACAAUUGGAGGUGGAUGUGUUAAUUAAUACACUAAUCGAAGUGAUCUUAAACACAAACAAAAUAAAUACGAGAUUCCACUUAUAAUCCAAAAAAGAUCAGGAAAUAGCCAGUCACUAAAAAUAACGGACAUGCAAGUGGCAUUUCUGAGUGGAUCCAAAGAUUAAAUAAAAAAAGAGGAGCAAGGAUUAUAUCGAUCAAGGAAAUGGUUAUUCAUAGAAAGCUGGUGGUAACCCAAACGUCGCCUCCUAAAACAGAACAUAGUAGCUACAAAAUACAGACUGAUACAAAAAGGAAAGAACACUACCAACUCAGUGAAAGGAUACAGACCUUCCCAGCAGAAAACAAAGAGGAGGAAUUUAAGGAAAAGAGCAAGGAAAGGAGAGUUGGCAUACGCGGACGUAUGCAAAAAGAUUAAAAAGAAAAGAAAUCAACGAAUAUCAACAUCAACCCAAAAGGAACAUUAGAGAAGCAAGAAAUCAGCAAAGAAUCCACAAUAGACCGGAGGCAAUACUCGUUGAGGUCGAAAGAGGAAGAGAAUGACUCGAAGCCUAUAGAGAACUUAUAGGAGCAAAGGAAGCUCUCAAGGAAACGACAGGCGUAGGAAUUAAAAGCUAAAGCACCAACGAGUGAAAUAUUUGAGAAACUAAAAACGGUGGCAUUGAUCCACUGACGAGCAAAUAAGAGCUCAGUAGUGAUAUUUGUCGAGAUUUAGACAUAAGUAACACGAACUGUAUCGACGUCAAGACACUACAAAUAAUUCUAUGGGGAACACAACAGUUGUUACCCCACAUCAACUGUACCUACUGAUUAUAA
Long non-coding RNA from Bombus terrestris (buff-tailed bumblebee), 1242 nucleotides. RefSeq lists it as uncharacterized. The record is from RefSeq and is a predicted model, not a curated record. The transcript is spliced from 2 exons. Lineage: Eukaryota; Metazoa; Arthropoda; Insecta; Hymenoptera; Apidae.